Molecule: ribosomal RNA, 270 nt
Filed under: uncultured archaeon
Lineage: Archaea
Description: partial 16S ribosomal RNA
Rfam family: Archaeal small subunit ribosomal RNA
Source: RNAcentral
CAGCGGCCCUAGUGGUGAUCGUUAUUAUUGGGCCUAAAGCGUCCGUAGCCGGUUCGGUAAAUCUCUGGGUAAAUCGUUGGGCUUAACUCAACGAAUUCUGGGGAGACUGCCGAACUUGGGACCGGGAGAGGUCGGAGGUACUCCAGGGGUAGGGGUGAAAUCCUGUAAUCCUUGGGGGACCACCGGUGGCGAAGGCGUCCGACCAGAACGGGUCCGACGGUAAGGGACGAAGCCCUGGGGCGCAAACCGGAUUAGAUACCCGAGUAGUCC